GCGGCGAGCGAACGGGGAGCAGCCCGGAGUCUGAAUCAGCUUGUGUGUUAGUGGAACGGUCUGGAAAGUCCGACGGUACAGGGUGAUAGUCCCGUACACGAAAAUGCACAUGCUGUGAACUCGAAGAGUAGGGCGGGACACGUGGUAUCCUGUCUGAAUAUGGGGGGACCAUCCUCCAAGGCUAAAUACUCCUGACUGACCGAUAGUGAACCA
RNAcentral lists this ribosomal RNA (213 nucleotides) under Enterobacter hormaechei. RNAcentral's name for it is "partial 23S ribosomal RNA". It matches the Rfam family "Bacterial large subunit ribosomal RNA", at positions 246 to 497 of the family's 2925-position model. Lineage: Bacteria; Pseudomonadati; Pseudomonadota; Gammaproteobacteria; Enterobacterales; Enterobacteriaceae. The record is from RNAcentral.